Molecule: long non-coding RNA, 533 nt
Filed under: Sus scrofa (pig)
Lineage: Eukaryota; Metazoa; Chordata; Mammalia; Artiodactyla; Suidae
Description: lncRNA (ENSSSCG00065077049.1)
Source: RNAcentral
AGGUGGCUUCCUGUUUGAAGGGCUCUCCGAUGAGGAGGAUGACUUUCACCCAAGUGCCAGGUCCACGCCCUCGAGCAGCACGUCCAGCUCCCGCCCAGCUUCCCUGGGGUACAGUGGAGCCGCCGGACCCCGGCCCAUCACUCAGAGCGAGCUGGCCACGGCCCUGGCCCUGGCCAGCACUCCGGAGAGCAGCUCUCACACGCCAACUCCUGGCACCCAGGGCCAUUCCUCUGGGACCUCCCCAAUGUCCUCAGGCGUCCAGUCAGGGACGCCCAUCACCAACGAUCUGUUCAGCCAAGCCCUACAGCAUGCGCUGCAGGCCUCCGGGCAGCCCAGCCUUCAGGUCAGUCUUCCCACUCCUGGUGUCCACGCGGCUCUUUGUCACCUUGGACACUGAGCUUUUUGUGCUCUGUGGAGGCCCUUCCCACUUGGCCUGCUUUGCUCCAGGACAGCUGGGCCGUGACAGUGUGACAGGAGAGGAUGCCCGCAGCAAGGGCGGUUGUCCCUGUGGCUUCCACUCCUGCACCCAGUGA